Molecule: ribosomal RNA, 498 nt
Filed under: uncultured bacterium
Lineage: Bacteria
Description: partial 16S ribosomal RNA
Rfam family: Bacterial small subunit ribosomal RNA
Source: RNAcentral
ACUCAAAUGAAUUGACGGGGGCCCGCACAAGCGGAGGAACAUGUGGUUUAAUUCGAUGAUACGCGAGGAACCUUACCUGGACUUAAAUGCAGAAUGACUUUCCUGGAAACAGGAUUUCUCUUCGGAGCAGACUGCAAGGUGCUGCAUGGUUGUCGUCAGCUCGUGCCGUGAGGUGUCGGGUUAAGUCCCAUAACGAGCGCAACCCCUAUUAUUAGUUGCCAGCGGGUAAUGCCGGGGACUCUAAUAAGACUGCCAGUGUAAACUGUGAGGAAGGUGGGGAUGACGUCAAAUCAGCACGGCCCUUACGUCCAGGGCUACACACGUGUUACAAUGGCCGGUACAAAGAGCAGCUACUUAGUGAUAAGAUGCUAAUCUCAAAAGCCGGUCUCAGUUCGGAUCGAAGUCUGCAAUUCGACUUCGUGAAGCUGGAUUCGCUAGUAAUCGUAGAUCAGCCAUGCUACGGUGAAUACGUUCCCGGGCCUUGUACACACCGCCCGU